AGUACUAAGCCGGACUAACGGAUAACAUUGAUGUCGUUAAAUAUGAGUAAUUUCUAGUACUU
This 62-nucleotide transfer RNA is filed under the name Helobdella robusta. RNAcentral describes it as "tRNA-Ile". The record is from RNAcentral. Lineage: Eukaryota; Metazoa; Annelida; Clitellata; Rhynchobdellida; Glossiphoniidae.